Molecule: long non-coding RNA, 1090 nt
Organism: Mytilus californianus (California mussel)
Lineage: Eukaryota; Metazoa; Mollusca; Bivalvia; Mytilida; Mytilidae
Exons: 2
Source: RefSeq, a predicted model, not a curated record
AAAACUUCUAUAAUAGGGAGUAAGAUUGACAACGACAAAAGUAAUACUCUGAGGAAAAAAGUGAGCCAUGCUGAAUUAUAUUAAUUUGCUGAAAGAAAAACAAAACGGAAAACAUUGACGGCAUCCAUUUAUAAUCAACGUUUUAAAGUUUCAGCAACAACCUAAACCACAUCACUUCUUCAAUCAAUAUAUAAUAUCGACGUAGUGGCAUUUAAGUCUGUUUUUCCUGUUGCCUAGUUGUCGAAUACUUCUUCAUUAAACUUCAACCAUAUGCAAACUCCAAUUGCUAACGCAGUCACCUUAAAUAUCAGACAGCACAGCCGCAGAUAAUGUAUAUCACAGCAACACCGAUAGUCAUAGAAGAAGGCCAACCCGACACAAUACAAGAUCUUGUCAACCACUUGACUGUAGAAUAGUGAUAUAAUAUAUAACAAUGGCCUCUGACCAUCGACUUCUCGAUGUCAGUGUCUCCUUUGGUGGUUUAACUUUUGUCUUUUUAUUCUGAUCAUCUUUCAUAUUCGUUCAUUGAUUCGUCAUACAUUCCAUUCCUUUUAAAUGGCAUGCGGCAAAAUCUCAAACAACAAUGCAAGGAAACAAAGACUUAUCAAUUAACUGAUGCGUUUUGAAUGCCAAACAAACUAAUAUCCUGAAAUUAGAAACGUUACUUACUAGUUUUUUGAAAAAAACCAGUGGCAAGGGGUAAAAAAGACGAUAAUAAGCAAGCAAAGUACCAUAAAAGUUUGCCAAAACAGUCUGCCAACUGUACUGGUAGUACGACUUGUUACAGCUGUUGCACAUUGGGUGUAACUAUUUUGUAUAAAGUUUAGUCCUCAAUUUAGAAAAUAGUUUAAAUAUCUGCAGAUGCCACUUUUUAAGUCGUUACAAUGAUUAACUGUUUUUAUUGAUUGUUUAAAAUUAAUUGUUUACCGUCAUUAAAUCAAAAGUAUUAAUAGAUUAUUUUUCCAAAAUGUCAACGGCAAAUUCAUACCAGUAUUUUUAUUUUGAACAAUUAAUUUUCCAUGAUUUUGUUUACUUGGAAAGUUAAACAGUAAAGAAUUGGUGUAAAUAAAAUCUCUCUAAAGAAACAAGA